RNAcentral lists this ribosomal RNA (429 nucleotides) under Pseudomonadota bacterium. RNAcentral's name for it is "Proteobacteria bacterium partial 16S ribosomal RNA". It matches the Rfam family "Bacterial small subunit ribosomal RNA", at positions 355 to 776 of the family's 1533-position model. The record is from RNAcentral. Lineage: Bacteria; Pseudomonadati; Pseudomonadota.
UGGGGAAUAUUGGACAAUGGGCGCAAGCCUGAUCCAGCCAUGCCGCGUGUGUGAAGAAGGUCUUCGGAUUGUAAAGCACUUUAAGUUGGGAGGAAGGGCAGUAAGCGAAUACCUUGCUGUUUUGACGUUACCGACAGAAUAAGCACCGGCUAACUCUGUGCCAGCAGCCGCGGUAAUACAGAGGGUGCAAGCGUUAAUCGGAAUUACUGGGCGUAAAGCGCGCGUAGGUGGUUCGUUAAGUUGAAUGUGAAAGCCCCGGGCUCAACCUGGGAACUGCAUCCAAAACUGGCGAGCUAGAGUAGGGCAGAGGGUGGUGGAAUUUCCUGUGUAGCGGUGAAAUGCGUAGAGAUCUGGAGGAAUACCGAUGGCGAAGGCAGCCAUCUGGCCUAACACUGACGCUGAGGUACGAAAGCAUGGGGAGCAAACAGG